Molecule: small RNA, 107 nt
Filed under: Marmota monax (woodchuck)
Lineage: Eukaryota; Metazoa; Chordata; Mammalia; Rodentia; Sciuridae
Source: RNAcentral
GCUGGGCACAGAGGCUCAUGCCUGUAAUCCCAGUGACUUGGGAGGCUGAGACAGGAGGAUUGCAAAUUUGAGGUCAGCCUCAGCAACUUAGCAAGAACCUGUCUCAA